RNAcentral lists this ribosomal RNA (415 nucleotides) under uncultured microorganism. RNAcentral's name for it is "bacterial SSU rRNA". It matches the Rfam family "Bacterial small subunit ribosomal RNA", at positions 9 to 420 of the family's 1533-position model. The record is from RNAcentral.
GAGUUUGAUCGUGGCUCAGAUUGAACGCUGGCGGCAUGCCUUACACAUGCAAGUCGAACGGCAGCAUGAUCUAGCUUGCUAGAUUGAUGGCGAGUGGCGAACGGGUGAGUAAUACAUCGGAACGUGCCCUGUAGUGGGGGAUAACUAGUCGAAAGAUUAGCUAAUACCGCAUACGACCUGAGGGUGAAAGUGGGGGACCGCAAGGCCUCAUGCUAUAGGAGCGGCCGAUGUCUGAUUAGCUAGUUGGUGGGGUAAAGGCCCACCAAGGCGACGAUCAGUAGCUGGUCUGAGAGGACGAUCAGCCACACUGGGACUGAGACACGGCCCAGACUCCUACGGGAGGCAGCAGUGGGGAAUUUUGGACAGUGGGCGAAAGCCUGAUCCAGCAAUGCCGCGUGUGUGAAGAAGGCCUCGG